AUAACUCCUUUUUAACUCCUUUAGCCCGACUUCCACUACUCCACUCUUUUAACCAGUCAGUCUAGAAACCUCUUUCUUUCUGACUCCGAUCAAUCUCUCUCUCUCUCUCUCUCUCUCUCUCUCUCUCUGUGUCUGGCCAAAUGCAUCCCCAAAACCACCAAACUCAAUACGACUCCUCACUUGACCCAGACCAUCCUCAGCUCCCAACCAUCAAAAUUCAUCACCCGGCCUCCCCUCGCCACCAUUCUGCCACGUCGGCGGCCACUCCGACGCCCACCGCCGGGGCCCGCCGCAAGAUUGGAGUGGCAGUCGAUCUCUCGGACGAGUCGGCCUACGCCGUGCGCUGGGCCGUGAAUCACUACAUACGACCCGGCGACGCCGUGAUCCUCCUUCAUGUCAGUCCCACUUCGGUCCUCUUCGGGGCCGACUGGGGCUCCAUUGACCACUCGAUCUCCCCCGCCGAUGUGGACGACAGCCACGGCGUUGUCUCCUCCACGGGCACCAAGGUGCCUGAGCAGAAGCUGGUGGACGACUUCGACGCGUUCACUGCUUCGAAGGCCGCCGAUAUCGCGAGGCCGCUGAGGGAGGCGCAGAUCCCGUACAAGAUCCACAUCGUGAAGGACCACGACAUGAGGGAGAGGCUGUGCCUGGAGGUCGAGAGACUCGGCCUGAAUGCGGUGAUCAUGGGGAGCAGGGGGUUCGGUGCGGCGCGCCGCGGCAGCGACGGUAGACUCGGCAGCGUCAGCGACUACUGUGUCCACCACUGCGUCUGUCCUGUCGUCGUGGUGCGGUACCCCGAAGACAAGGACGCCGGCGACGGCGCCGAUGCUGGUGCCCGAGCUGUGGCGGUCGUGAAGCAGCCGGAAGAGGGAGAGGAGGAGAGGAACGAUCGGAAAGAUGCUUAGUAGGUAGAUGGUGUCAUGGCUUGAUCCUCUCAACUGCAGGAAGCAUAGAAGGCAUCUGAUUCAAUCAGGAUCAGCUGACACACUGAAGAAUGAAUGUUUUGUUCUUGGUUGCUGAAACCUUUGCUAAAAAGGCGGAUUGUAGAGAUUGAUCAAAUUCACUGUUGAGUCGGCGUUCUUUCUUGGCAGCUGAGGAUGAGUGAUCUUGCGGCUUUGUUUGUUUGUGUUUUGUGGGGUUUUUUCUUUUUUAUUUGAAGAAGUGUUAACGAUGUGAUUGCAAAAACUGUUUUCGUGUGUUUUUUUGUUGUUUGUUAAUAUGUUUUUGUUUUGAGAAAGAAAACAAAGGACAAAAUACUAUGAAUUGCUCGGCAAAAAGGGUAGUGGAACUGACAUGGACAUGGAAAUGACAUGACAUCAUCACAUGCUACACUUCAUUAUACAUAUUAAUAUUAUUGCAAUUUAUAUUAAAUUGAACCUGGAAGAAUUUGGGUGCUUUAUCUGGAAAGAGCAAAUGAAAGUACAGGAAGAAUGCUUUGCUUUA
Corylus avellana is the source of this 1443-nucleotide RNA transcript. It is a transcript of the gene named universal stress protein PHOS32, with no coding region annotated. The record is from RefSeq and is a predicted model, not a curated record. NCBI's taxonomy places the organism in Eukaryota, Viridiplantae, Streptophyta, Magnoliopsida, Fagales, Betulaceae.